UACGUAGGGGGCAAGCGUUGUCCGGAAUUAUUGGGCGUAAAGCGCGCGUAGGCGGCCUGGUAAGUCUGGUGUGAAAUCCUGCGGCUCAACCGCAGACUAUCACUGGAUACUGUCAGGCUUGAGUCCGGAAGAGGAGUGUGGAAUUCCUGGUGUAGCGGUGAAAUGCGCAGAUAUCAGGAGGAACACCGGUGGCGAAGGCGGAUCUCUGGGCCAUUACUGACGCUGAGCCGCGAAAGCGUGGGGAGCGAUCCGG
Molecule: ribosomal RNA, 253 nt
Filed under: uncultured bacterium
Lineage: Bacteria
Description: partial 16S ribosomal RNA
Rfam family: Bacterial small subunit ribosomal RNA
Source: RNAcentral